ACAUGCAUGUACAUGUAUCAAAUUUGCAAAGGAAUUUAGAGAAUUAGGAAUUAGAGAAUUCUUCAUUUAAAAAAAUACAGAUUUUUUUAAAACCUUGCAAAGAAUAAAAUCACGUGAUGAUCCAAAGUGGUCCCUGAGGAAGUUAAAAAAGGGAGGACGCAGAGUUCUAUUUAGGAGAAAUAAGGUUUAAUUGGGUUUGAUUGGGAUUGGGCCAAGAAGGAUACAUAAGAGACUCAAGUCUGGUCAAUGCUGACAGUUACUGAUUUUUGUUUGUUUCUCUUUGCCUGAACCUUACUCUCAAACUUUUCUCAACUGAGGAAUAAUUCGUAUAUAUACACAAGAAAUCACUUCAGUAGUCACUCCAUUGUGAUUGGACUUAGAAAUCCCAGAGCCUGAACCAUGACAUAUUUAACCAUGGAGUCAAUACAAAGCAUCUUGGGGGACCUGCCUAAUCCACAGUAAUGCAAUGUGUUCUCAUCUUCUCCAAGCCACACCGUAGGAUGUUCCAUUAAGCAUCCAUAUUUCUUGUUGUUGAUUUAGCUAUUGCCAUAAUUAUAGUGCAUAACUCCAAAACUCGGAGGCUUAAAAUAAUAAUGAUAUAUUUUACCCAUAGAUGAGCAGAAUAGCAAUUUAGAGAGAGCUAAGCUAAGCAGUUCUUCUGAGCUUGGCUGAGCUCACUCAUGUCUGAAGACCAACCAGUUGUUAGCUAAUCUAGGACAACUGAAAUAUCCAGCUCUGGCCCAUCUACCUCAUGCUCCAGCAGCCAAGGCCAGGCAUACUCUCAUGGAAAUCAUGGAAGUAAGAACACGAGUUGAAACUUGAUUUACUUUUCAAACCUCUGCCUUCCUCAUAACUUGUAAUACCAACUUGACCAAAGUAAGUCUUACUCAGGAUUGAGCACGCAGUAAGUAAACUAUGCUUCAUUUGUGAGUGGAUCUACAAAAUCUCAUUAUAAAAGCCAUGGACCAGGAAGGGGAAACAUUCAUUUAAUCACUAUGUCAAACCUAGAUUCUCAGUCUACGUAAUUAAACCCUCUGGGGUAAAUUGUAUCCAAACAGAACACUUCCCCAUCUCUUAGUUCAAGUUUACCAUAAUUCUG
This 1099-nucleotide long non-coding RNA is filed under the name Marmota monax (woodchuck). The record is from RNAcentral. Lineage: Eukaryota; Metazoa; Chordata; Mammalia; Rodentia; Sciuridae.